AUGCCCGCAGAUGCGCCCCCGGACGAGAUCGACUGGGCGACCCACACGGAGCUGCUUCGCAAUCAGCUCGAACGCGCCCAAGCUCGCUUCAAGAAACAGGCAGAUCGCCACCGCGCCGAACGUGCCUUCGAUGUGGGGGAGCAAGUGCUCCUCAAGCUGCAACCUUAUGCACAAUCGUCCGUCGCCAACCGCCCGUGCAAGAAGCUGGCGUUCAAGUUCUUCGGCCUGUUCACCGUGUUGGAGCGCGUGGGCAACCUGGCGUAUCGCCUGCAUCUGCCACCGGAUAGCCGUAUCCAUCCGGUCUUCCAUGUCUCCCAGCUCAAGCCGUUCGUCGCCGACUACACCCCUGUCUUCGCCGAGUUGCCCAAGAUUCCGGACCUCACCAUCGACGACCGUUUUCCGGUGGCCAUCCUAGACCGCUGCAUGAUGAAGAAGGGGAACGCAUCAGUGGUGCAAGUGCAAGUUCACUGGAGCUCUAUGACGCCCUCCUCCGCGACCUGGGAAGACUACGCCGUCCUGCGCCAGCGCUACCCCAACGCACAGCUGUGGGCAGAAGAGGAAGCUGCUGCUCGAGGGGGGGAACCUGUCACGCCUGCUGAUCGAUCACAGCAGCGGACUGAAGAUGCAGGUUCAGACUCUGAACCCGCAACCGCAGGAGGUGGCCACCUGACGGACCAGGCCCAGCUACAGGAGUAG
RNAcentral lists this ribosomal RNA (696 nucleotides) under Triticum aestivum (bread wheat). Its description in RNAcentral is "partial small subunit ribosomal RNA". Lineage: Eukaryota; Viridiplantae; Streptophyta; Magnoliopsida; Poales; Poaceae. The record is from RNAcentral.